This 366-nucleotide long non-coding RNA is filed under the name Bos indicus x Bos taurus (hybrid cattle). RNAcentral describes it as "lncRNA (ENSBIXG00000025804.1)". Lineage: Eukaryota; Metazoa; Chordata; Mammalia; Artiodactyla; Bovidae. The record is from RNAcentral.
CUAUGGGACAAAUCUUUGGAAGGUUGGACAAAAGUGAGAAGAUGAGUCUUGCUACUGGGAAACUCAAAUAAUUUAAGAUCAAAAUAUAAUUUUCUCUUUCAAAUGUUUAAACUCAAGACAAAUCCAAAGGUCAAGAUUCAGUCAAACCAGGGAACUCAUCAAAUCAUGACCACUGGCAGUUUUUGUAUGGUCUUGUUCCUGAAUAGCUGUGUUUUUUCCUUCCCUGAGAAAGUGACCUGUCUUCCCUCUACUUUUAGUAAGUCAGUUCUGAUUUAUAUUUGGAGUCAUGGCACAGUACUAGAUGAUUCAAGCAGAGGAAGAAAAAAGAUCUGUGGCACUUUAUUUUCCACUUUCCUCUGAUAAAAG